This 550-nucleotide ribosomal RNA is filed under the name Bifidobacterium animalis subsp. lactis. RNAcentral's name for it is "bacterial SSU rRNA". It matches the Rfam family "Bacterial small subunit ribosomal RNA", at positions 146 to 697 of the family's 1533-position model. Lineage: Bacteria; Bacillati; Actinomycetota; Actinomycetes; Bifidobacteriales; Bifidobacteriaceae. The record is from RNAcentral.
UCUCCUGGAAAACGGGUGGUAAUACCGGAUGCUCCGCUCCAUCGCAUGGUGGGGUGGGAAAUGCUUUUGCGGCAUGGGAUGGGGUCGCGUCCUAUCAGCUUGUUGGCGGGGUGAUGGCCCACCAAGGCGUUGACGGGUAGCCGGCCUGAGAGGGUGACCGGCCACAUUGGGACUGAGAUACGGCCCAGACUCCUACGGGAGGCAGCAGUGGGGAAUAUUGCACAAUGGGCGCAAGCCUGAUGCAGCGACGCCGCGUGCGGGAUGGAGGCCUUCGGGUUGUAAACCGCUUUUGUUCAAGGGCAAGGCACGGUUUCGGCCGUGUUGAGUGGAUUGUUCGAAUAAGCACCGGCUAACUACGUGCCAGCAGCCGCGGUAAUACGUAGGGUGCGAGCGUUAUCCGGAUUUAUUGGGCGUAAAGGGCUCGUAGGCGGUUCGUCGCGUCCGGUGUGAAAGUCCAUCGCCUAACGGUGGAUCUGCGCCGGGUACGGGCGGGCUGGAGUGCGGUAGGGGAGACUGGAAUUCCCGGUGUAACGGUGGAAUGUGUAGAUAU